RNAcentral lists this long non-coding RNA (316 nucleotides) under Triticum aestivum (bread wheat). Its description in RNAcentral is "long non-coding RNA (TAES_LNC019933)". Lineage: Eukaryota; Viridiplantae; Streptophyta; Magnoliopsida; Poales; Poaceae. The record is from RNAcentral.
GCAAUGAUAAUUCCAAGUCCAUGUCAAUUGACAAGUUGAACAUAACACAAAUGAGAGGUUCAUCUCCAAGCUAGCAGUGACAAUUCAUAGUUCAUGACUUGAAAGGUUCCAACAUAACAGAAAUGCAAAAGUAGCCUUCACAUGAGAAAGAUCACUUUGACAUUCAUCUCCAAAAUAGCAAGAUCAACAUCCACAUGAUGAACGUCUACAAGUAAGAUAAUCAACAUUCACAUAAAUAAUACUUGGUAACGUAUGACAAGUGAAACAUGUAGGAAGAAUAGUUACCAAUCAUUGAUCUCCUCCACCACAAUGGGUG